Molecule: ribosomal RNA, 501 nt
Filed under: uncultured bacterium
Lineage: Bacteria
Description: partial 16S ribosomal RNA
Rfam family: Bacterial small subunit ribosomal RNA
Source: RNAcentral
AUUGAACGCUGGCGGCAGGCUUAACACAUGCAAGUCGAGCGGAGAUGAGGUGCUUGCACCUUAUCUUAGCGGCGGACGGGUGAGUAAUGCUUAGGAAUCUGCCUAUUAGUGGGGGACAACAUUCCGAAAGGAAUGCUAAUACCGCAUACGUCUUACGGGAGAAAGCAGGGGAUCUUCGGACCUCGCGCUAAUAGAUGAGACUAAGUCGGAGUAGCUAGUUGGUGGGGUAAAGGCCUACCAAGGCGACGAUCUGUAGCGGGUCUGAGAGGAUGAUCCGCCACACUGGGACUGAGACACGGCCCAGACUCCUACGGGAGGCAGCAGUGGGGAAUAUUGGACAAUGGGGGAAACCCUGAUCCAGCCAUGCCGCGUGUGUGAAGAAGGCCUUAUGGUUGUAAAGCACUUUAAGCGAGGAGGAGGCUACUGAGACUAAUACUCUUGGAUAGUGGACGUUACUCGCAGAAUAAGCACCGGCUAACUCUGUGCCAGCCGCCGCCGUAA